GUGCUCACUCCUGCAACCCAUAGACUAAAACUGGGACUAUACAGAGAAGA
Molecule: small nuclear RNA, 50 nt
Filed under: Cervus elaphus hippelaphus
Lineage: Eukaryota; Metazoa; Chordata; Mammalia; Artiodactyla; Cervidae
Source: RNAcentral